RNAcentral lists this long non-coding RNA (3010 nucleotides) under Salmo salar (Atlantic salmon). RNAcentral describes it as "lncRNA (ENSSSAG00000102557.1)". The record is from RNAcentral. Lineage: Eukaryota; Metazoa; Chordata; Actinopteri; Salmoniformes; Salmonidae.
AGAUUAGCUUCCUGGAUGCAAUUCCUAUGGCUUCCACAGGGUGUCAGCAGUCUAUGUUCAAGGUUUCAGGCGUGUAACUUCAAAAAUGAAUAAGAAAUAACAGUUUUAGUAGUAGGACACAGUCUUGGAAAUUCGUGUUUGCGGGCGCCUCGAAGACAGGACGCACCUGCUAAAAUCGGAUUGCUAUUGAACAUACUUCCUUCUGUAAGAAAUAUUACAUUUUAGGGUAUCUGAGGAGUAAAUAGAAACGUAUUUUGACUUGUUGAAACAAAGUUUAGAUUUUCGGAUUCCUUUCUCUACAUGUUGAACGAGUGGGUUACUCAAAUCGAUGGCGCCAACUAAACUGACUUUUUGGGAUAUAAAGAGGGAUUUUAUCUAACAAAACGACACUACAUGUUAUAGCUGGGACACUUUGGAUGACAAAUCAGAGGAAGAUUUUCAAAAAGUAAGUGAAUAUUUAAUCGCUAUUUGUGAAUUUAUGAAACCUGUGCCGGUGGAAAAAUAUUUUGAUGUGGCGCUGUCCUCAAACAAUCGCAUGGCAUGUUUUCGCUGUAAUAGCUACUGUAAAUCAGACAGCGCAGUUAGAUUAACAAGAAUUUAAGAUUUCAACCAAUAUAAGACACUUAUAUGUACCUGAAUGUUUAAUAUCCAUAAUUUGUAUGAUUAUUUAUUUGAAUUACGCGCCCUCCAGUUUCACCGGAAGUUGCCCUGCUAGCGGGACGCCUAGCCCGUUCCAUCCCUGCAUGUCAGUCCCUUUCAGACAAUCCCCCUAUAACUGUUGCUCCUCCACAGUUUCUUCAGGCCGAGGGCUUUAACUUUCCUCUUGAGAAUUCAAAUCAGAAGUACAGUCGUAUAGCUUAUUGCAAUACUUCACCUCUUCGGGCAAAUAUUACCCUAGACUGUCCUGAUCAUCUAGUUGAGCAUUCCAGAUAAUUCCCCCAUCCCGGCAGAAAUGUCCCAUCCAUAUAGUAUGAUUUUAGAUGUGCAGAUAGACCAAAGCCUAGUCUAUUUUAGCAUUACUAUAGUCAAGUAUGUGGGUUAUGGUAUUUUAAUAUAGAUGUUACCAAUGUUCCCUCAAUUUUUUUCCAGCAAUGAGCAAAUUUCAGGCCUGCUAAGCACAAAUUUAAAUGUUGUGAAUAUUUUGUGCAACUUCCAGCACGUUUACUGUGAACACAGAGGUUGUGCGCGUUUUAAGUUACAGUAUUAACAGUGGUCAAGUAGGCUGUUGUGGACUACAAAUUGUCUUUAACUGGGCUAAUAACUCACUAACUAGCACAAAUGUGCACAAGUGGCUCGCUUUGAUCUCAAAACAAGCGCAUCUACUCAUGACCGCUCAUUCUGUAAACACAGUCCAGUUCAAAGUGAAUGGCACAGGUUUAUUUUGCAAUGGUCUAUUAGUCUAUUUGCUUAUAGGCCUACUGCAGCUCUGAUUGCUUAUGGCGCGCGGGUCUGUAUAGAGUAUGGGCCUGAGCCGUGCCUGUCAAUGCAAUAGAAUCCUACUCUGAUGCUUUCUGCCUACAACAAAAUCGCUUGCAUAGUUCGUUUUGCAUACUUCGUCUUGCAUAGUUUGUUUUUGUUUCGGUAUGUUGCACUAAACGUGGCUAAUAUUACAUUGAUUCGAUCACAAUUCUCACAGUAAAGAAAAACAUUGGUGGUGUUAACUAACAGGGAAAACUCCUGAAUGUUGAGUGAGGUUCAAACUUGUGUUUCUCUGAGCGGGCUUUAUUAUGUGCACCAGUCCAUGGGGAGCUUAAAGGGAACAUUAGAUGUUACCAUUUUAGUAAAAGUUACUUUUUUUGUCUUUUAGAUGGGCGGACUGGACACUCGGGUCUGCAGCUGCCAUUUUCUGGUGGAAAGAGAAAUGGUCCUGUAUUUACCAGAAAGGUCCACCAUGGCAGAAGAGGAAGAUCCAGACUGUUGAAACAAGAACAAACAAUCAGUCCAACAGGACUGUAUCCCUCAGACCUUCCGGUGCAUGGAUAUCCUGUUUCAAUGUGAUGGCAUCCUGUGCCAGUGUGAUCUGAGUGCAAGCGUCCAGUUGUAGACUACAGCAGAUCGAGCCUGUGGACGGACAGGUCAGUAACUCAUCAAAUGUGAUACAAUAUUGAAUUUGACAAUAUGCGCAGUAUGUUUGUCAUGUUUGUGUAUGGUUCUCAUUACUUAAGAAUGGGUGUUGACAGAACACUUGUAACGUUGUCCAAGGUGUGUUUGUGUUAUGAUAAACAAUGUAUUUUCUGUUCAGAUAAAGAUGGUGAUAAAGUGUUGAAAAAGACCCACCACUGACCAAAUGUCUCUUUGUUUUCCAGUCCAACAAGAGUGUCUCCCUCAGACCAUCCGGUGGAGGGACAUCCGGUGCCAGUGUGAUCCAGUUGUGGAGACUACAGCACAUCGAGCGUGUGGACGGACAGGUCAGUGUUAGGUUCUAAAUUAACCUUGUAAAACUCACGGACGAUUACUAAAGCUUAAAACACGUUUAUUCACCAAUUGGGUCAUACAGCUGCAUAAGACAAAUACAUAUUUCCACCAAUGGUACUAUACUAUAUACCCCAAUCUGGGUGUACAGUCGUGGUCAAAAGUUUUGAGAAUGACAUGAAUAUUAAUUUUCACAAAGUCUGCUGCCUCAGUUUGUUUGAUGGCAAUUUGCAUAUACUCCAGAAUGUUAUGAAGAGUGAUCAGAUGAGUUGCAAGUUCCUCUUUGCCAUGCACCACCCUCUCCGAGUUGGGCAUCUCCGGCGCGGCCCACGCUUGGAUUGCGUCCUACCUGACAGGUCGCUCCUACCAGGUGGCGUGGCGAGAAUCUGUCUCCGCACCAUGCGCUCUCACCACUGGUGUCCCCCAGGGCUCUGUUCUAGGCCCUCUCCUAUUCUCGCUAUACACCAAGUCACUUGGCUCUGUCAUAUCCUCACAUGGUCUCUCCUAUCAUUGCUAUGCAGACGACACACAAUUAAUCUUCUCCUUUCCCCCUUCUGAUAACCAGGUGGCAAAUCGCGAAUCGCAUCUCUGCAUGUCU